CAAAUCCGGUGCUAAGAGCAAGGUACGAUACUCGGACGGAGUUUUGCGUCGAACCAACUGGGUGGGCAAUGUGCUUGAAGAUACCAUCCUGCAGAUAUUUGCCAAUGGGGAGAUGGAUGUGUUUGUAAACAUAGUCAAGGUUGAAGUUGUUCCAAGCUACUCUGCACUGAAGGUUUGGUGGGAGGCGAGCGGAGUGCAGGAAAAAGACAAACAAACUCAACAGCUCCUUGAAACACAGGCUGGCAAACUCAGGCACUUGUUACUUCAGUCUCAGGUGUGUGGGCGCGUGCCUCCGGUCGUGUUCAUGAGGGAUAUCAGCGUAGC
Long non-coding RNA from Mya arenaria, 324 nucleotides. RefSeq lists it as uncharacterized. The transcript has 3 exons. The record is from RefSeq and is a predicted model, not a curated record. Lineage: Eukaryota; Metazoa; Mollusca; Bivalvia; Myida; Myidae.